Molecule: long non-coding RNA, 1687 nt
Organism: Canis lupus familiaris (dog)
Lineage: Eukaryota; Metazoa; Chordata; Mammalia; Carnivora; Canidae
Exons: 3
Source: RefSeq, a predicted model, not a curated record
ACACAGCUUCUGGGAAGUCAAGAGAAAAUCAAGUCUGAGAACAAUGCUGUCCUUACCUUUACUCCAGGGAAAAGCUGAAUUUGCUCUAGGAAUAAGAAGCAAAGGCAAAAAUGUCAUUGUCUUAGUAACAUUUUCAUCAAAUUAUCCCAGGAUUUGUGGCAGUCAUGACUCUACAUUUUACUGCUAAGAAAACCACAAAUAGUUCGUGAGAUGAAAUUAAUGCAGGUGGAAGAGUAGGAAUUGUGCUUUCUUUAUCAUUUAAAAUGUUCUCACAAAGCUGCAAAAUAUACUAUUGGAGCUGGGAUUUCAAAAAUAAAAUUUCAAAAAUAAAAAUGCCUACACCCUUGAGGAAGUAUUCCAGGGGCUUUGGAAUCCGACAGAUUUGUCUUAACUACCACUACCAGUUGUGCAAUCAGAGCUUGGCUUCUGCAAAUGAACGUGGUUCCCACUUGCGUGCGAUGGGUAUUGACGAGUCAUGGCAACAUGUACAAGGUAUACAAAGAGGUAAACAUCUGUCAGCUGGAAACUGCCAAACUCUUCUUUACAAGCGGUGAACAAAGCUGGACCCACUAUCGACCCUCCGAAUGAAAGAUUUCAAAUCCUCUGUACGUUUUGAGUAGCAAAAGAAGUUAUUCCUUUUUAAAGAUAGAGUUGAUGCUCUGCGCAGAACUGAGUAUUAACUAAAAUAGAGUAGUGGUUAUAAUGGAAAUUCUGAUAAGAUUAUUUGAUAUACUUCAGAGCAUGUACAUCCUCUCCUUGACAGAGUGGAGAGAUUGUUUUGAUUUGGUUUGGUUUGGUUUGGUCACCUUCCCAUCUCCUAUUCAGGUUUCUUUCACAACUCCCUUUCUACCCUAAGCUGGGGAAGCUCUGGGAACUGCUUUCUAGUCUGUUGGGCUACUGAGCCGGACCUGCCCUCGACACAGAUCCUCAUCUAGAGCCCAGAACACUUUGGAACCAGACUUAGACCUGCCUGUCUAGGAGCCAUCACCCAUGAGCCAGAAAGAAUCAGUUAGCCCCAGGAGAACAGGGCACUAACAGAACACUGGGACAGCUACCUGCCAUGGCUCUUAACCAGAUCCAUCCAGCUCUGGACACACCCCCGGGGAUGAAGAUCUAUGGUGGUGGGGGCUUCCAGAAUGAUGCUGUCCUCCGCUACCCCGCCCCAGAUACAUGGUACUUUUGAACCAUGAGCUGAGACCAUAUGGCCUUUGGAAAGCUGAAGGGUCAGCUUGGGAACAUGUCUCUUCAUUUAGUCCCUAAUAAGACAAUAAAUGUUGUUUUUAGAGGCCUUCAAAAAACAACAAGAACCAAACCAAACCAAAACAAAACUGCCUAGAAGUUUUUCUUUGCCCUACCAUCGCUAGGAGGCUUAUUUCAAUAAGAAGCACUCUUUCACCCCAAAAAAGUUCCCCUGUGGCCCCUGCAGUCCAUUAGUUUCUGUCAGCGCUGCCCUGGGCAAUCACUUAACUGCAUGCUGUUACUAGAGCUUUGCCUCAUUCAGAAUUUCAGAUAAAUGGAAUCAUGCUCCACACAAUCUUUUUGUGUCUGGCUUUUUCUCACAUAGCAUGUUGUUUGGGAAAUGUAUCUGUGGUGUUGACUGGAUAUCCCAUCAUUUGUCUAUCUAGUCAACAUUUGAAGGAGGUCUUCUAUUAUGAAUAAAUGGGCUGUGAAUGUUCAUGUACAAGUC